GGGGAAUAUUGCACAAUGGGGGAAACCCUGAUGCAGCGACGCCGCGUGGAGGAAGAAGGUCUUCGGAUUGUAAACUCCUGUUGUUGAGGAAGAUAAUGACGGUACUCAACAAGGAAGUGACGGCUAACUACGUGCCAGCAGCCGCGGUAAAACGUAGGUCACAAGCGUUGUCCGGAAUUACUGGGUGUAAAGGGAGCGCAGGCGGGCGAUCAAGUUGGAAGUGAAAUCCAUGGGCUCAACCCAUGAACUGCUUUCAAAACUGGUCGUCUUGAGUAGUGCAGAGGUAGGCGGAAUUCCCGGUGUAGCGGUGGAAUGCGUAGAUAUCGGGAGGAACACCAGUGGCGAAGGCGGCCUACUGGGCACCAACUGACGCUGAGGCUCGAAAGUGUGGGUAGCAAACAGGAUUAGAUACCCUGGUAGUCCACACCGUAAACGAUGAUUACUAGGUGUUGGGAGAUUGACCCUCUCAGUGCCGCAGUUAACACAAUAAGUAAUCCACCUGGGGAGUACGACCGCAAGGUUGAAACUCAAAGGAAUUGACGGGGGCCCGCACAAGCAGUGGAGUAUGUGGUUUAAUUCGACGCAACGCGAAGAACCUUACCAAGUCUUGACAUCCCUUGACGAUGCUGGAAACAGUAUUUCUCUUCGGAGCAAGGAGACAGGUGGUGCAUGGUUGUCGUCAGCUCGUGUCGUGAGAUGUUGGGUUAAGUCCCGCAACGAGCGCAACCCUUAUGGUCAGUUACUACGCAAGAGGACUCUGGCCAGACUGCCGUUGACAAAACGGAGGAAGGUGGGGAUGACGUCAAAUCAUCAUGCCCUUUAUGACUUGGGCUACACACGUACUACAAUGGCGUUAAACAAAGAGAAGCAAGACCGCGAGGUGGAGCAAAACUCAGAAACAACGUCCCAGUUCGGACUGCAGGCUGCAACUCGCCUGCACGAAGUCGGAAUUGCUAGUAAUCGCAGAUCAGCAUGCUGCGGUGAAUACGUUCCCG
This 995-nucleotide ribosomal RNA is filed under the name uncultured bacterium. RNAcentral describes it as "bacterial SSU rRNA". It matches the Rfam family "Bacterial small subunit ribosomal RNA", at positions 356 to 1376 of the family's 1533-position model. The record is from RNAcentral.